UUUCCAGCUCAGCAACUUUAGCAAAACUGUGUGACCAUUAAGUCUUUGUACUUUGCUGCUGAAACCUUAUGGCCCAGAAAUAAUAAGUGUCCAUUAAUCACCUAAACUUGUACAUUAAUGCAUCCUUCCCCUGUGGUGACCUUCCUCAACUGGAGAAGAUGUAAAGGUGAUCAAUAACAUUGUUAUUGACACUUGCAAUUCAUGUGAAGUGUGCAACUAAAAUAACCACAGGCAGUGACUUUGAAGUAAGAAAACAAAGCAGCAAGAGGCAAUCCCUUCCUAUAAUGGCUAUUUGCAGGAGUCAUGCCUAGGUGAAAAGAUGAUUUGAAGAGAUGAAGGAAAUGAGACUGAUGAUCUUAAAGCAAGAAGAAGAAAGAAUGAAGUAAAAGUUGGAGGAAAUUCCAUCAAAAAGACUGGGAUUUUCCUAUGCUUUCAGACAUUUUGUUAUUUAUUUUCCUAAUUUAAAUUGCUAGUUACCUUUUGAAAUCGUAUCACAAGCAUGGAAAUAAGUGCAAACAAGGGAAAACCCCCACAUUUAUGGGCUUCUGCAUGUUUUGUCUGUCUAUUAAAGUGCUAUAGCAGUACUUGAAGCAUGAACUGAGGACGUUUCUAUGAAUAUCUAACAUUGCUGUAUUAAAGUACUGUAUUUCUUUCAUAAAUGUGAAGUCUGAAGGAAUCAGAUCUGUUAGUUUAGUCU
Molecule: long non-coding RNA, 697 nt
Organism: Cyanistes caeruleus (blue tit)
Lineage: Eukaryota; Metazoa; Chordata; Aves; Passeriformes; Paridae
Source: RefSeq, a predicted model, not a curated record